CACACAGUAGCUUAAUUUGUAAGCUUCAAUAUUCAACACAUUGAUUGUUCCAGUUCGACUCUGGACUGUUUGC
Molecule: transfer RNA, 73 nt
Filed under: Lactarius zonarius
Lineage: Eukaryota; Fungi; Basidiomycota; Agaricomycetes; Russulales; Russulaceae
Description: tRNA-Leu
Source: RNAcentral